GCUGGCGGCAUGCCUAACACAUGCAAGUCGAACGCCUGUAGCAAUACAGGAGUGGCGCACGGGUGAGUAACGCGUGGGAACCUGCCCUGGAGUGAGGGAUAACCGAGGGAAACCUCGGCUAAUACCGCAUACGCCCUAAGGCCGUGGAGGUUUUGGGGGAAAGAUUUAUCGCUCUAGGAGGGGCCCGCGUCGGAUUAGCUAGUUGGUGAGGUAACGGCUCACCAAGGCGAUGAUCCGUAGCUGGUCUGAGAGGAUGAUCAGCCACACUGGGACUGAGACACGGCCCAGACUCCUACGGGAGGCAGCAGUGGGGAAUAUUGGACAAUGGGGGCAACCCUGAUCCAGCAAUGCCGCGUGAGUGAUGAAGGCCUUAGGGUUGUAAAGCUCUUUCGGCGGGGACGAUGAUGACGGUACCCGCAGAAGAAGCCCCGGCUAACUUC
Molecule: ribosomal RNA, 440 nt
Filed under: uncultured soil bacterium
Lineage: Bacteria
Description: bacterial SSU rRNA
Rfam family: Bacterial small subunit ribosomal RNA
Source: RNAcentral